UUCAACCAAAGACAGUAGGUGCCGUUUCGGCGUAAGCAUUGUCGCCUACCGAGGAAUGAGCAUUAUGUAUUGCAGAAAUGCGCUUUUUAUGUAAUGUUGUGCAUCCUCGUUUUGGGGAUGCACUUUUUAUUUGGAU
RNAcentral lists this small RNA (136 nucleotides) under uncultured Eubacterium sp. RNAcentral describes it as "Ribosomal protein L10 leader". It matches the Rfam family "Ribosomal protein L10 leader", at positions 14 to 136 of the family's 138-position model. From Rfam's summary of the family: This family is a putative r-protein leader autoregulatory structure found in B. subtilis and other low-GC Gram-positive bacteria. It is located in the 5' untranslated regions of mRNAs encoding ribosomal proteins L10 and L12 (rplJ-rplL). A Rho-independent transcription terminator structure that is probably involved in regulation is included at the 3' end. The record is from RNAcentral. Lineage: Bacteria; Bacillati; Bacillota; Clostridia; Eubacteriales; Eubacteriaceae.